UUACCUUCGGGUAUUGAGGAUGGCGGACGGGUGAGUAACGCGUAAGGAACUUGCCUCUUGGUCUGGGACAACUGUUGGAAACGACAGCUAAUACCGGAUAUUAUGAGAUUCUCGCAUGGGAAACUUAUGAAAGCUAUAUGCGCCAAGAGAGAGCCUUGCGUUCCAUUAGCUAGUUGGUGGGGUAACGGCCCACCAAGGCGACGAUGGAUAGCCGGCCUGAGAGGGUGAACGGCCACAAGGGGACUGAGACACGGCCCUUACUCCUACGGGAGGCAGCAGUGGGGAAUAUUGGACAAUGGGCCACAAGCCUGAUCCAGCAAUUCUGUGUGCACGAUGAAGGUCUUCGGAUUGUAAAGUGCUUUCAGUUGGGAAGAAGAAAGUGACGGUACCAACAGAAGAAGCGACGGCUAAAUACGUGCCAGCAGCCGCGGUAAUACGUAUGUCGCAAGCGUUAUCCGGAUUUAUUGGGCGUAAAGCGCGUCUAGGCGGAAAAAUAAGUCUGAUGUUAAAAUGCGGGGCUCAACUCCGUAUUGCGUUGGAAACUGUUUUUCUAGAGUACUGGAGAGGUGGGCGGAACUACAAGUGUAGAGGUGAAUUCGUAGAUAUUUGUAGGAAUGCCGAUGGAGAAGUCAGCUCACUGGACAGAUACUGACGCUAAAGCGCGAAAGCGUGGGGAGCAAAC
Molecule: ribosomal RNA, 682 nt
Filed under: uncultured bacterium
Lineage: Bacteria
Description: bacterial SSU rRNA
Rfam family: Bacterial small subunit ribosomal RNA
Source: RNAcentral